Molecule: non-coding RNA, 243 nt
Organism: Cinara cedri
Lineage: Eukaryota; Metazoa; Arthropoda; Insecta; Hemiptera; Aphididae
Source: the annotation of a GenBank genome assembly
AUUUAUCAGUAUUAUUUUUCAGAUUUAAUAAUGAAAAGGGUUGUCAAACAAAAUUGUCACAUAUAAUUUACGUAUAAUAAUUAUAUGACCCACGAGGGGAAGGCAAAUGCCCCCUUUGCCCCUCUCCCUACAGGUACGCCACUACUUGUUGGUUAAAAAGAAAGUCUCGCAUUAUGAUUUUCUAACCAUUUUUCAUAAUAAUUAGAAAAACCCGAAAAUAUUACGGGAUUAAUAGUUUCGUUA